This 69-nucleotide transfer RNA is filed under the name Sphaerodactylus townsendi. RNAcentral's name for it is "tRNA-Pro". The record is from RNAcentral. Lineage: Eukaryota; Metazoa; Chordata; Lepidosauria; Squamata; Sphaerodactylidae.
GCGUGGCUCUGAGGUAGAGCAUCUGCUUAGGUUGCACAAGGACCCAGGUUCGGAUCCCUAGCAUCUCCA